UUUGAGGCGCUUGCCAAGAGGUGAAUGCCAUCGGUAGGAGAUCAGUGAUUGGGCUUGGCCCAAAUAGGCUGAAACCAACAGAGCUUUCUGUGCUCACACAAAUCCUGCAGAUUGAAAACUAGAGGAGACCCAAAUGCAGGGCCAGGUUUACCAUUGAUAAUUUGCUGUUCUCAGUCAUUUAUUGCAGAGAAGAUAAAAUCCGACGACUGGAAAGAAGGAGCCUGCAACAAUACAACUGGUCUCCUCCUGAAGAUAGUGCUCGGGUCCUGAAUUUGCAUGGCUCAGAAAGUGGAAGAGUUAACACCUCAGAAUCUUCAAAGAGCAAGACUUUCAGGCUAAAGAGAGAGACUCCCAUCAAAACUAGAGUAUGAUAAUGCAUCGUGGCUCUACAAGAACAUGUGUUUUAAGAUAUAACAACUGAAAUAUGUAAAUGAGAAGACACAAUGCCUGAGAAGUACGUACAGCUGUGGCCAAAUCGAGUAACUAUUGAAUCUGGAUAACAGGUCUUGCCUUGGGCUGGCCCAGGCUCCAACUUCCCACAGGCAGAGCUUCCUGUGGAAGGUGAAUAGACCACGUGCAUGGACAGACCUGAACCAGAAGCAAGCCAGGGUCGAGCUCCUGUCUCCCUUUCUGAAUUAACUUGCUCCAAAUUACCAAACCAAAGGCCAUUAUCUCAACAUCAUAAACCUUAUUUCUAAUUAAGAUGAUCGAUGCCUCUUUCAGAAUUACACAUUCCAAUUAGCCAGGGAAUAAAGUUAUUCCUAUUGUGUACUGGCACACUGAAAUUAUCACAGAAAAAGUAAAAAAUUACUUCAAUUACAUGAAAAUAUUACUCUCCUGUCAAGCUUGUUCUGAAAUACGGGUCCUUCACAUUCCGUUUAGUGGAAUUACAACUUCAUUAAAUAUAUUUGCUUGUAAAAAAAAAUAUAGUCUUCAAUAUUUUAACACGUCCCUCAAUGUUUUUAAGUAGCAGCAUGUACGUCCAUCAGCUGUGAGAGCUCAUAGCCAUGCUCAUGUUAUUUGCAUCUAAAUAUUCUCCCGACAUUAUUACAGAAGAUAAUUUUACCCUAGGGAGACAUGCAAGACCCGGUAUCAGAUGUCCUAUCAUAU
Molecule: long non-coding RNA, 1110 nt
Organism: Canis lupus familiaris (dog)
Lineage: Eukaryota; Metazoa; Chordata; Mammalia; Carnivora; Canidae
Exons: 3
Source: RefSeq, a predicted model, not a curated record